AUGUUUACUCUACUGGCAGUGUACGUAUAGUUGUAUGGCUGUUAUUAAAUUGAAAUGUUUUAUAUUGAGUGGCAGUAACUAUAAAAGUUUUUAUCGUCCAUAUACAACAUUUACAAUUCCAUAUAGUAGCACUUAUAUGUUAGUUUUUGCCCACCAGUACCACGACAAUGGAAGAUUUUCUGGGUUAUACCAGUAUAGCUGUUUUGUGUUCUUCAAUUCUAGUGUUUAGACACUUUUUUCUCCUACCUAUAUACUGCUCUGUAGUUUGUAGAGAAUUGUUAUACACUGGGAUUGCAUAUACUCCUGACUUCCUCAUAUUGUUCAUUGGGUCUUUAUCAUUCCUUAAACUUGCAAAAAUGGUACUUUUUCUCUUAUAAACAUGCCUAUGUGCAUUUCUUUGAGAAGUUUUUUUACAACUGUCUAUUACUGGAACAGAUUGUGGUUUUAUUGUAUAUGAGAGAACAUGACUGUUGGUCUUGGUAAGGCCGACUGCUAUUCUGCGAUGUUGCUGUUACAUGAGCAUUGGCUAUUGAUUUAAUAACAUUAUUAUAUAUGGCUUUUAUACUUAUAACCACAUUUUUUUGACCUUGUGUAAUUAUAUAGCAUUAUUCUUUGGCUCUAUUUUCUUUGCUUCAUACUGUUUGUGUUUGUGUGUGUGUGUGUGUGUGUGUGUGUGUGUGUGUGUGUGUGU
Molecule: long non-coding RNA, 691 nt
Filed under: Androctonus crassicauda
Lineage: Eukaryota; Metazoa; Arthropoda; Arachnida; Scorpiones; Buthidae
Source: RNAcentral